Molecule: non-coding RNA, 71 nt
Organism: Phrynosoma platyrhinos (Desert horned lizard)
Lineage: Eukaryota; Metazoa; Chordata; Lepidosauria; Squamata; Phrynosomatidae
Source: the annotation of a GenBank genome assembly
GCCAGUGUUGUGCAGUGGUUUGGGCAUUGACUACGACUCUGGAGACCAGGGUUCGAAUCCCAGCUUAGCCA